CAACUUUCAACAAUGGAUCUCUUGGCUCUCGCAUCGAUGAAGAACGUAGCGAAUUGCGAUAUGUAAUGUGAAUUGCAGAAUUCAGUGAAUCAUCGAAUCUUUGAACGCAUAUUGCACCCUCUGGUAAUUUUAUUCUGGAGGGUAUAUCUGUUUGAGUGUCAUUA
RNAcentral lists this ribosomal RNA (164 nucleotides) under Camarophyllopsis sp. JMB10101304. Its description in RNAcentral is "5.8S ribosomal RNA". It matches the Rfam family "5.8S ribosomal RNA". From Rfam's summary of the family: 5.8S ribosomal RNA (5.8S rRNA) is a component of the large subunit of the eukaryotic ribosome. It is transcribed by RNA polymerase I as part of the 45S precursor that also contains 18S and 28S rRNA. Lineage: Eukaryota; Fungi; Basidiomycota; Agaricomycetes; Agaricales; Clavariaceae. The record is from RNAcentral.